GCGGCGGACGGGUGAGUAACACGUGGAUAACCUACCUAUAAGACUGGGAUAACUUCGGGAAACCGGAGCUAAUACCGGAUAAUAUUUUGAACCGCAUGGUUCAAAAGUGAAAGACGGUCUUGCUGUCACUUAUAGAUGGAUCCGCGCUGCAUUAGCUAGUUGGUAAGGUAACGGCUUACCAAGGCAACGAUGCAUAGCCGACCUGAGAGGGUGAUCGGCCACACUGGAACUGAGACACGGUCCAGACUCCUACGGGAGGCAGCAGUAGGGAAUCUUCCGCAAUGGGCGAAAGCCUGACGGAGCAACGCCGCGUGAGUGAUGAAGGUCUUCGGAUCGUAAAACUCUGUUAUUAGGGAAGAACAUAUGUGUAAGUAACUGUGCACAUCUUGACGGUACCUAAUCAGAAAGCCACGGCUAACUACGUGCCAGCAGCCGCGGUAAUACGUAGGUGGCAAGCGUUAUCCGGAAUUAUUGGGCGUAAAGCGCGCGUAGGCGGUUUUUUAAGUCUGAUGUGAAAGCCCACGGCUCAACCGUGGAGGGUCAUUGGAAACUGGAAAACUUGAGUGCAGAAGAGGAAAGUGGAAUUCCAUGUGUAGCGGUGAAAUGCGCAGAGAUAUGGAGGAACACCAGUGGCGAAGGCGACUUUCUGGUCUGUAACUGACGCUGAUGUGCGAAAGCGUGGGGAUCAAACAGGAUUAGAUACCCUGGUAGUCCGCGCCGUAAACGAUGAGUGCUAAGUGUUAGGGGGUUUCCGCCCCUUAGUGCUGCAGCUAACGCAUUAAGCACUCCGCCUGGGGAGUACGACCGCAAGGUUG
This 815-nucleotide ribosomal RNA is filed under the name uncultured Staphylococcus sp. Its description in RNAcentral is "bacterial SSU rRNA". It matches the Rfam family "Bacterial small subunit ribosomal RNA", at positions 95 to 896 of the family's 1533-position model. Lineage: Bacteria; Bacillati; Bacillota; Bacilli; Caryophanales; Staphylococcaceae. The record is from RNAcentral.